This 468-nucleotide ribosomal RNA is filed under the name uncultured bacterium. Its description in RNAcentral is "partial 16S ribosomal RNA". It matches the Rfam family "Bacterial small subunit ribosomal RNA", at positions 28 to 507 of the family's 1533-position model. The record is from RNAcentral.
GACGAACGCUGGCGGCGUGCUUAACACAUGCAAGUCGAACGGAAAGGCCCUGCUUUUGUGGGGUGCUCGAGUGGCGAACGGGUGAGUAACACGUGAGUAACCUGCCCUUGACUUUGGGAUAACUUCAGGAAACUGGGGCUAAUACCGGAUAGGAGCUCCUGCUGCAUGGUGGGGGUUGGAAAGUUUCGGCGGUUGGGGAUGGACUCGCGGCUUAUCAGCUUGUUGGUGGGGUAGUGUCUUACCAAGGCUUUGACGGGUAGCCGGCCUGAGAGGGUGACCGGCCACAUUGGGACUGAGAUACGGCCCAGACUCCUACGGGAGGCAGCAGUGGGGAAUAUUGCACAAUGGGCGGAAGCCUGAUGCAGCAACGCCGCGUGCGGGAUGACGGCCUUCGGGUUGUAAACCGCUUUCGCCUGUGACGAAGCGUGAGUGACGGUAAUGGGUAAAGAAGCACCGGCUAACUACGUG